Nymphaea colorata (pocket water lily) is the source of this 949-nucleotide long non-coding RNA. RefSeq lists it as uncharacterized. NCBI's taxonomy places the organism in Eukaryota, Viridiplantae, Streptophyta, Magnoliopsida, Nymphaeales, Nymphaeaceae. The record is from RefSeq and is a predicted model, not a curated record. The transcript has 3 exons.
CAGGCGGUGGCCACUACUGCUCAUUUAUUAGGGCGUCCACCACGUUCGGUCCGUCCAGAUAUGGAAGGCCACUCUCCCUUUCCUUUUUAUUUUUUACUUUUGUUUCUUAAUCAAGAUUGAUCGGUAUUUAUUGAGAAACAAGAUUGAUCGGUAUUUAUUGAGAAACAAGAUUGAUCGGUAGUCGUUGGAAAUCAAGAUCGAUCCGUACUGUGGCGGUUAUCUUUUUUUUCCCGCCUUUUUUAAAUUUCAUAAGCUUCGGUUCUCAGGCCCUAAUCUGACUCUGUAAGGUGCACGCCCUGUUUUUCCUCCUCCUCCUGUUUCCUCUCUUUUUUCCUUGGGAGAGCUUUUUUCCGAGAGUCUCGUGUGGCGUUUUCCGGGAUCGAAGGUUCGAAGAGGAAGACGAAGCAUUAGGGUUUCAGUCAACCAAAAUCACCCUCCAGCAGCAGGAAGUCCGGCUCCAAUCCGUCGGAAACGCCGGUCUCUAGCCGACUGGGCCUGGGGUUCAUCGAACGCCGCCGGAUAAGGGUUUCACAUAUCUAGUAAUUCUCCACGGGUUUCGACCUCGAGCCUGAGCAGGGGUUCCCUACUGCUCCACCUGCUCCUCCGCUUCCUCCGUUCUCCGUUUCACCCGCCUGCAGCCCCUCAGCUGGUGCUUUCGCCGGUGCGAAGCUACUGCAACUGCGCGGCCGCUUUCUAAGCUUCGGUUCUCGUCUCUCAGGCUGUAAGUUAGGAUUCUCGGUUCCCUUUCGUUAUUUUGCUGAUUUUUUUUGGGAGAUGGAGGUCGCCGAGAUUUCUCCUCUUCGGAUGCUGUUGCUCUCGCAAAUGGCUGCUUUCUUGGUGGAAGCUAUCGCUGUAGAGGCGGUGCUCGUCGCCCAGAAGUCAGUUUACUUCUACCGGGUUGGGAAAUUGGGGAUUCUUCCAUUUCUGCAAGCAAAGUCCUUAAUAAAUG